UACGUAGGGUCCGAGCGUUGUCCGGAAUUAUUGGGCGUAAAGAGCUCGUAGGCGGUUUGUCACGUCGGGUGUGAAAGCCCGGGGCUUAACCCCGGGUCUGCAUUCGAUACGGGCAGACUGGAGUGUGGUAGGGGAGAUCGGAAUUCCUGGUGUAGCGGUGAAAUGCGCAGAUAUCAGGAGGAACACCGGUGGCGAAGGCGGAUCUCUGGGCCAUUACUGACGCUGAGGAGCGAAAGCGUGGGGAGCGAACAGG
This 253-nucleotide ribosomal RNA is filed under the name uncultured bacterium. RNAcentral describes it as "partial 16S ribosomal RNA". It matches the Rfam family "Bacterial small subunit ribosomal RNA", at positions 524 to 776 of the family's 1533-position model. The record is from RNAcentral.